This is a non-coding RNA of Saimiri boliviensis boliviensis (Bolivian squirrel monkey), 697 nucleotides long. The record is from RefSeq and is a predicted model, not a curated record. Lineage: Eukaryota; Metazoa; Chordata; Mammalia; Primates; Cebidae.
AUGGGCAAAAGCUGGAAGCAUUCCCUUGUUUUCUACCUAUAUAGAUUCAACUGGAACCACUGCAGAGAGAUGGCACCUGCCUGCUAAUAGCAUUUCACCCAGGACACCUGCCCUUACAAGUCCUCCUCCAACUUUGGGCCCUGGAUCUGGCAGGUGGAUCAGAGCUGGUGUAAAGAGCAGGUACUGAACAUGCCCCUGUACAAAGAGGGUUAUGGGCAAUCCUGUGGGCAAUGGUGGAAAGAUUGUUGCAUCUCCUACACCUGCAAGAGCAACUGGCACAAAGGCUGGAACUGGACCUCAGGAUUCAGCGAGUCCCUGGUGAGAGGUGCCUGUGUACCUUUUCAUUUCUACUUUCCCACACCCACUGCUCUGUGCAAUGAAAUCUGGAGUUACUCCUACCAGGUCAGCAACUACAGCCAAGGGAGGGGCUGCAGCAUCCAGAUGUGAUUCGACCUGGCCCAGGGAACCCCAAUGAGGAGAUGGCAAGAUUCUAUGCUGCAGCCUUGAGUAGGGCAGGGCCCUGGGUGGCCUCUCCUGCUCAGCAUGGCCCUAAUGCUGUUCUGGCUGCUCAGCUGACCUCCUUUUACCUUCUGAUACCUGGAAAUUCCCGCCUGUUCAGCCCCACAGCUCCCAACUAAUUGGUUUCUGCUCCAUGGCUGGGCCUCUGACAGCCACUUUGAAUAAACCAGACACCCCA